GCGGACGGGUGAGUUAAUAUAUCGGAACUGGCCAGUAGCGGGGGGAAACCUACUUCGAAAAAUGGGCUAAUACCGCAUACGCCCUACGGGGGAAAGGGGGGGAAUUCCUCGGAACCUCUCACCAUUGGAGCGGCCGAUAUCGGAAUAGCUAGUUUGGUGGGGUAAAGGGCUUCACCAAGGCAACGAUCCGUAGCUUGGUUUUGAGAGGACGACCAGCCACACUUGGGACUUGAGACACGGCCCAGACUUCCUACGGGAGGCAGCAGUGGGGAAAUUUUGGACAAUGGGGGAAAACCCUUGAUCCAGCCAUCCCGCGUGUAUGAUGAAAGCCUUCGGGUUGUAAAAGUACUUUUGGCAGAGAAGAAAAGGUAUCUCCUAAUACGAGAUACUGCUGACGGUAUCUGCAGAAUAAGCACCGGCUAACUACGUGCC
This 432-nucleotide ribosomal RNA is filed under the name Alcaligenes faecalis. Its description in RNAcentral is "bacterial SSU rRNA". It matches the Rfam family "Bacterial small subunit ribosomal RNA", at positions 98 to 509 of the family's 1533-position model. Lineage: Bacteria; Pseudomonadati; Pseudomonadota; Betaproteobacteria; Burkholderiales; Alcaligenaceae. The record is from RNAcentral.